UGGGGAAUAUUGGACAAUGAGCGAAAGCCUGAUCCAGCCAUGCCGCGUGUGUGAAGAAGGUCUUCGGAUUGUAAAGCACUUUAAGUUGGGAGGAAGGGCAGUAAGUUAAUACCUUGCUGCUUUGACGUUACCGACAGAAUAAGCACCGGCUAACUCUGUGCCAGCAGCCGCGGUAAUACAGAGGGUGCAAGCGUUAAUCGGAAUUACUGGGCGUAAAGCGCGCGUAGGUGGUUUGUUAAGUUGGAUGUGAAAGCCCCGGGCUCAACCUGGGAACUGCAUCCAAAACUGGCAAGCUAGAGUACGGUAGAGGGUGGUGGAAUUUCCUGUGUAGCGGUGAAAUGCGUAGAUAUAGGAAGGAACACCAGUGGCGAAGGCGACCACCUGGACUGAUACUGACACUGAGGUGCGAAAGCGUGGGGAGCAAACA
Molecule: ribosomal RNA, 427 nt
Filed under: uncultured bacterium
Lineage: Bacteria
Description: partial 16S ribosomal RNA
Rfam family: Bacterial small subunit ribosomal RNA
Source: RNAcentral